UACGUAGGGUGCAAGCGUUGUCCGGAAUUAUUGGGCGUAAAGAGCUCGUAGGCGGUGUGUCGCGUCGGCCGUGAAAACCUGCAGCUUAACUGUGGGCGUGCGGUCGAUACGGGCAUCACUGGAGUUCGGCAGGGGAGACUGGAAUUCCUGGUGUAGCGGUGAAAUGCGCAGAUAUCAGGAGGAACACCGGUGGCGAAGGCGGGUCUCUGGGCAGUAACUGACGCUGAGGAGCGAAAGCGUGGGGAGCGAACAGG
RNAcentral lists this ribosomal RNA (254 nucleotides) under uncultured bacterium. RNAcentral describes it as "partial 16S ribosomal RNA". It matches the Rfam family "Bacterial small subunit ribosomal RNA", at positions 524 to 776 of the family's 1533-position model. The record is from RNAcentral.